This 316-nucleotide small RNA is filed under the name Histoplasma capsulatum var. duboisii H88. RNAcentral describes it as "Histoplasma capsulatum H88 hypothetical RNA". The record is from RNAcentral. Lineage: Eukaryota; Fungi; Ascomycota; Eurotiomycetes; Onygenales; Ajellomycetaceae.
ACACGGACUACGGACUACUUCCUGCGUUACUCCGUAGCCAAGCCAAUAAUCUCUGGUCUCUCCGUCCGUACGACGCCUUCUCUCAAAAUGCCAAGUGCCAAGAAAAAUGAAGAAAAAACACCGCCCGCCAAGACCCCGGAAUCGGUGGAGAUCGGCAGAUCUCCGCCCAGGAUUUGUCCCCCGUUGAAGCAAACAAACAACCCAAAGCACCAAAGCCGCAUGAUUGACUGACGACGAACAAUGGAGGCUCGGCUUGGGGCGUUACGUUAGGGUGGUUUGAAACAGAAUAACAGCGCAUUAAACAGAAAAAAAGAAA